This 35-nucleotide transfer RNA is filed under the name Picea abies (Norway spruce). Its description in RNAcentral is "tRNA-Lys". The record is from RNAcentral. Lineage: Eukaryota; Viridiplantae; Streptophyta; Pinopsida; Pinales; Pinaceae.
GUUGCUAACUCAAUGGUAGAGUACUCGGCUUUUAA